UGACUUGCUUUGGCCCGUGGAGCUGAGUGGAUGUGGGACCCGUAAUCUCCAGGCAGAAGCUUUAAGAGCCAGUGUGCAACUCGCCCUGCUUUCCUGUCCUCUGCUGCAGUGACCAACAAUGCUCCAGAUCACCGGUGGCUGCCCUGUCAACCUGAGCCUCAGAGUGAAAGGCCAAGGACCCAGAUGAUUUGUCAAGAGCCCCCCUGGCAUGUGCAAGAAGUAGAUUUUUGUGUUGAGGCCCUGACACCCUGGGGUUGUUCAUUACUGCCUCGUGUCCUGGCCAGUCCUCGCUGGCACCGAUGGAUGGAGGUACGGAAGACUUCAUUCGCCCAUCACCCGGCAACGUUGAAUGAGUGCUUCCUAAAGCCGAGGGCCUGGGGGUGCCACAGAGACGCAGUCAAGCAAGGACCCUGCCCUCCAAGGGGACCCAGGCAUUAAAGAACAGCUUUCUCAGGAAGGAGAAUGGAUUGGAGGAAUCGGGAAUCAGGAAUCUGUGCUUCGGGGGGCUUGCGACAGGCGGGUGUCCGGGCAGGUGAGCGUGGUGACCUGGGCAGGGGGAGGCCGCGGGGAUGGGGAGAGGUGGUGAGCUUGAGUGUGGUAUCGGGAGGUAGAAUCAACAGGACUUGUUGGUGGACGGGGUGUAGGGGGGCACAGAUGAGUCCCAAAAAUGCAGGUUCAGUGCAGGCCGUUCGUCUUGAUAGGCCACCCGUCUGUCUACAGAUAGGCUCUUCUGUCUACACCGCCUUCUCUGUGUACUCAAGCUGGCGUUCUGACCCCCAUUUGUCUCAUCCCGGUGGGAGGAGAGGGUUGUCAUUUAUGCUUUCUGGAGCCUCAGUAGCAUCCCCAAAAGCAUCCUGUUAAAAAUUAAAAAAAAAAUUUUUUUUGAA
Molecule: long non-coding RNA, 887 nt
Organism: Felis catus (domestic cat)
Lineage: Eukaryota; Metazoa; Chordata; Mammalia; Carnivora; Felidae
Exons: 2
Source: RefSeq, a predicted model, not a curated record